Molecule: ribosomal RNA, 746 nt
Rfam family: Eukaryotic large subunit ribosomal RNA
GAAGAGAGAGUUAAAGAGCACGUGAAACCACUAGGAACGAAGCGGAUGGAGUUGACGAAAUUAACAGUAUUCAGGGCAGUGCAGUCGCCUUACAGCGCGCGCUGCGGUGUUUAGCCGUAGCCGUGUUGUGCAGUGUGGCUGUGCUGUCUGCAUUUGCUGUUGGUAUGUGCCGAGAGGUCUGCGUGCCUCUUCCGAACUGUUGCGUGUUGCCCUUCGCUUCGGCGCAGGUGUCUUGCGCGGCAGGGAUGUUGAUGGUGCGUAGGCUGCCUUGUGUGUGGUCACUAGCGUUUCGCGCGAUGUGCGUGGCAGUGUGCGUUGUGCGUGAGCGGUCGCGUGCGAUUUGUUUGCGAUUUCAGCGUACAUUGUCGCGUUCUGUCGCCCUAGUGUUGCCAUCUCGGUAUGAAAAGUCAGCCACCCAUCCGACCCGUCUUGAAACACGGACCAAGAAGUCUAGCAUGUGCGCGAGUCAUUGAGUGUAAAAACUUAAAGGCGAAAUGAAAGUGAAGGCCGACUUGGUGCGGCUGAUAUGGGAGUUGUGUUCGUGCGCGUUCGCAAUGCACCAUAGCCCCAUCCCGUGAGCUUGCUCUGGGGUGGAGGAAGAGCGCACAUGCUGGGACCCGAAAGAUGGUGAACUAUGCCCGAGCAGGAUGAAGUCAGAGGAAACUCUGAUGGAAGUCCGAAGCGGUUCUGACGUGCAAAUCGAUCGUCUGACUUGGGUAUAGGGGCGAAAGACUAAUCGAACUAUC